Long non-coding RNA from Lagenorhynchus albirostris (white-beaked dolphin), 4015 nucleotides. RefSeq lists it as uncharacterized. Lineage: Eukaryota; Metazoa; Chordata; Mammalia; Artiodactyla; Delphinidae. The record is from RefSeq and is a predicted model, not a curated record. The transcript is spliced from 6 exons.
UGGGACCUGUCGACCAGCCCCAUGGCUUGGAAGCACAGUGUAAGACUAAAAGGAGUGCUUGUGACAGAGGAACAUCAUUAUGACUUCAGACAGGCUGCAGUGGCCUUUUGAGGCCAAAGGACCAUCUCUGAGGACAGACAAGACCAGGUGUGACUCCAAUCCACAGCAUAUUAUGUUAUAUAGAGCUUACUCUGUAACUGAGCAAGAAACCAAAAAGGAGAUAACGUACUGGAUAUAAUGACCGAGUGUGAUGACUUCGUAGAGCCCCAGAAAGUCAGCCCUAGGAGGGAUCAUCCAGUUUGACCAUCUUGUCAAAUCCUCUCAUUUUACAGUUCUGAUCAUAGAAGCCGUUUCAGUCUUGAACUUGCAGUAGUAAAGAAGCUGUGAAAGGCUCAACUUGCUUGGCUGAGGGGCCUGAGGUGGUAUUCAACACGCAAUGCUCAGCAUCAGACUGUUGCACCAAUCAGGAGAACUGAAGAAUGGAAUGUUUCCCUUUGUGGACAACCCAUUAGGAAGAAGAGUUCAGGCCUUCCUCAAAGAUGGAACUAGAUUCCUUCUUCUUAGGAGAAGCCACUCGGGACACCUUAUCUGAGGAUUCCUUCAAGGCCCCUGGCUUGGGUGAAGCUGCAGAGGGCUUGGACUUCCCAUCACCCUUCUUGACAGGUAUUACAGGAUCACUGGACGCACACAGGGCAAACGUCAGAGAUGUUGGUUGGUAAAUAUUUCCAUACUGGUAAGUGAAGAGCCUCUGUCCUGACCACUCCUACCAUUCCCUCCUCCCUCAACUCCCUGCUCCGCUCCCCCCUGCCCCAAACACCUCCCCCUCAGACCUCGCCACCAUCUGUUCUUGCCCAGCAGGGGAUCUUCAGAACUCUGCUCCACUUCUAAGACUAGUGACCAUCUGGAUGAUCAGUGCCUGUGUGGUUAUGAAGUACUCUGGAUACAACCCCUGGGUACUUGCCAUGCAAAAAUGCCCUUUAAAAAGUAACAAACUAUCACAGGGGAUGGCUCGGUGAGUCAUUUCACCACUGAUAUGAAACGUUUUCUUUUAUUCCACUGGGCUGGGCAAAAAGGGCUGAUGACACAGUAAAUGAAUUUUGAUAUAGUGCACAUGGUGUCAAUUUUUAGAAUUUGGUAGGUAGAGAAGAAAAAAGUUUGGUGGGGUUUUUUUUGCAUCUUGGAGACAAAGUUAUAGACUGCAUAUUACUACAAAAAAUUACUGGUUCUGGCAUCAGUUCACACUAUGUAAAGCAUGAGUAGUUCAUCCAGCAGAUUCUCUGCAAAUACAGACACUCUGAAACCAAGAUGGUCAGAGCAGUUGGAUAAUUAUGUGAGCAAGGAGCCAAAAUUUGUCCCCCAUUUGCUCUUGUUUGAAUCCAGGGUGAGAUCUUCUACUCUAUUACAACUCCUGUUCUUUUCAGGGCAAGCUGGGCAUGAGUGGCUAAAAUCAAAUCUGGCUGAAAAGUUUUCAACACAUUGUUUAGUACUGCAGGAUGCGAAAUGCAGAAGAGUUAAUUGGGACCAAAACAGGGACUGUGACUUAAUGAAAAUGCUGUUUUCUUUCUCACUCCAUAUUAUGGCCCUAUGCCUAGUAGGUAGUGAGGGAGAAUCAUGCCAUAAACUCCAGUCUUCUUCCUUCAGUUAACAGCAAAGCUCGUAAAUCGGCUCAGCGUUUCCAGUGAAAAGAGCUCUGUGUCCUUAAUGGUAAAUGAUGAGGGCAAAGCAAAGAUUUCAUUUGGUCCAGGCAUCCCUGAGCCAGUGGGUCUAAACUCUUCCCUUCUAGUAUUGGAGUGGUUUUCUCUGUCUCAUACAACUUCCUGGAUACCAGCGUUCUGAGGCUACUAGUAUGAAUGUUUAGAAGGGUUAUAAAAUCUGAAUUUUCCAACGUUAGAUUGCAGUAGAAUAGCCAUUUUUGUUUUGUUAGCCUAUUUGUCCUACAUUUUAUGUGAAGGGUCACAAAACAACAAGUCUUUCUUUGACUUUGCUGUUUUCCUCUGACUUGAUGAUCUUCUAUAAAAGGGAUAAGAAUCAACUAUUUUGGAAGCUAAGAAAACUGAUAAACAGCAAAUGGUAGCCAUCCAUGGGGGAGUCUUUGCUCAAAUUAUUUGCCGACCAAAGCAAACAUCAGCACCAACUACGGUUUCCUGUCCAAUAAUUAGCAUAGACCCACAUCACCAUCACUAUAGAACAGUUACAAUUGUCUCAGUCCUAAUUUUCACACAGAGCACAUGCAAACUAUUCAUGUUUUAUAACACAUUUUUGAGGCGAAAUCCAGGAUAACUCAAACUGCUGAGUCUUUAAUAGUGAAAUGCAAAAAUUUAGUUCAUUUUAAUUUUUGAAAUUCUACCCUGAGGGGUGUGGCAGGUAAAGGUAUGAUCCAGCUGUGUGCAGGGGGUAUUCAGUCACUAGCUCUUUUUAUGUGACGUAGGUAAUCACCAACAUCAAGGAGAAGGUAAAAGGACUUGUGGAAUACCUCCUUACUUUCCAUCCUUUCACCUCUACCCAGAGAGUUUCUAUGAAACGAAGGAAAUGACCCCCCCAAAGGAAACAAAGCUGUGCAGAAUUCUGAGGAAGUCAAGGGCCUUGAAAAACAGCAAAGAGGCUGGUGACUGGAAAGCUAUGACGUACAAGAGAGAGCAGAAAACAAAAGUCAGCACUGCCAGACAGGUUUUUUUUUUUUUCACAGAGGGAAAAUCCGGUUCCUUUGGAGAAGCAACAACGCACUGUGCAUGAGACAAGAACACAGUCUCAGGCUGCAGAGAACCCGUCAUGAAAGAGACAGAUGGAAAGGGUCCGGGAGGAGGAGGAAGAACAAGCGCUGCGGCCUUGGAGCAGCACAGCAGAAACAAAGCCCCGAUAUCCCCCCAGAACCGGCUUCCAGACCUGUGCCAGCAGGCACACUGGAGACACAGGGCCUCAAGGGCAAAGACCGGGUCUCACAAGUGCCCGCUCAACCAAGGGGCAGGCGAGAGCAACGAGGAGGAGCCAACAAUGUGAGCAGUGACAAGGGGACCUGUGAGUAGGUCCUAGACUCGGGACCUGAGGCUUCCUCUAAAAGGGUUUGCAAAUCAUCCCCAUGAUAAAUGCUAGCUAGUAGAGCCCGUUAUACUAAAAGCUCCUGAAUAGGCAGAAACACGUCUUCUCUAGCUCUGUUACCGUUGUUUCCCCAGCACAUCAUCAGGCUCAGUCGAUGUUUGUUGAACCUCACUGAACUUGGCCAGUUAAAUACGUGCUGUCCUCCUGAAGUGGACACUUGGGAAGUGACCAGAGCCCACUAAUACUUCUCAAACACACUGACUCUGCUACCCUCCCCUUAUUCUUGCAAAGACGGGUGGGUGACAUGACCAGAAGGAAUAUUGUUUGGGGCAAAGAUAGUCCUUUUUGUUAAUUACCUUUUCGAAUUAAAUGCAGGCAUACUGGAAGAGGAAGGAAGAUAUAGGAAAUAAACGACUUUACAGCAGAUAAUAUUAAUGAAAUAAGAUUGCAAUUUCUAAACCAUAGCCUACUAACUACGUUUCCUUUUGUGGUUAGAUUACUUGCUUGGCUAAUGAGGAAAUACAGCAGACAGCGUAUCUGGGUUUUAGCAAGAUGUUUAACAGGAUCUCUGCACGGUGUGACAGUAGAACUGGGUGGUCCUAGCCAGCCAUAUAAAUUCUGCUGCUCCACGUCAACCUGGAGGGAGGUCUGCGAUGGGCUCAUUUAUGUCCUGUUGGUAUUGACGUGAAUGAAAAUGGUGAAGGCAUGCUUAUCAAAUCUGCGGACAGCAUGAAAACAGGAGGCCUAGGCAUUGUGGGGCGGCAGAAUUAAGACAUCUAGGAAAGCCAUUGACAUUGGGAUGACGAUGACUAAGUCACCUCUAACAGAGGUAUGCUAAAGGGAUAAAUGUAAAGUCCAAUAAACCAGCUGGGAAAGCAGGAUUGGGAGAUGGGGCUUAUCAACAGUAUCCGUGGAAAAGACUCAGGGAUUUUAGUUGACAGUCAAGUGCAUUUAUCAUAAAGCUAAAGAAGUUUAAAUU